This 212-nucleotide long non-coding RNA is filed under the name Elaeis guineensis (African oil palm). Its description in RNAcentral is "long non-coding RNA (EGUI_LNC072340)". Lineage: Eukaryota; Viridiplantae; Streptophyta; Magnoliopsida; Arecales; Arecaceae. The record is from RNAcentral.
UUUCUCUGAUUUCUGACUGGAGCAUUGAAAGAUCUCUAUCGAAGCCAACUCUAAUCAGGACUUGUCUUGCAGGAUUUUCUUCUGAGAGGACAUGCCACUACUUCAGCCUUUUUAAUCGAGUCCCAGAUUUUAGCGGCAACAGUAUUAUUUCUCAUAUAAAAGCUAUCACCCUUGCAUAUGCUUGACAAUUUACUAGUGGUUCGUUUUCUCGC